This 289-nucleotide ribosomal RNA is filed under the name uncultured bacterium. RNAcentral's name for it is "partial 16S ribosomal RNA". It matches the Rfam family "Bacterial small subunit ribosomal RNA", at positions 29 to 348 of the family's 1533-position model. The record is from RNAcentral.
AGCGAACGCUGGCGGCAGGCCUAACACAUGCAAGUCGAACGGAACCUUCGGGUUCAGUGGCGGACGGGUGAGUAACACGUGGGAACGUGCCCUAUGGUUCGGAAUAACUCAGGGAAACUUGAGCUAAUACCGGAUAAGCCCUACGGGGAAGAUUUAUCGCCAUUGAGCGGCCCGCGUCUGAUUAGCUAGUUGGUGAGGUAAAGGCUCACCAAGGCUACGAUCAGUAGCUGGUCUGAGAGGAUGAUCAGCCACAUUGGGACUGAGACACGGCCCAAACUCCUACGGGAGG